ACGUAGAGUGUAAAGGCAAAAGAGAGCUUGAUUGCAAGACAUACAGGUCGAGCAAGGAUGAAAAUUGGACUUAGUGAUCCGGUGCUUCUGGUUGGAAGGUCCUUCGCUCAAUGGAUAAAGGUUCCCCUUGGGAUUACAGGCUUACUUCCCCCACGUGUCCACCUCGACGGGGUGGUUUUGCACCUCCAUUUCGGCUCAUCCCCUCCUGGGGCUGUAGUAGGUCCCAAGUUUUGGGCUGUUCGCCCAUUAAAGUGGUCCGCGAGCUGGGUUCAGAACGUCGUGCGACAGUUCGGUCCCUAUCCGUCGCAGGCCUAGGAAAUUUGAGAAGACCUGUCCUUAG
Molecule: ribosomal RNA, 340 nt
Filed under: Clostridioides difficile
Lineage: Bacteria; Bacillati; Bacillota; Clostridia; Peptostreptococcales; Peptostreptococcaceae
Description: bacterial LSU rRNA
Rfam family: Bacterial large subunit ribosomal RNA
Source: RNAcentral